UUGAAAAGCACUACAAAUGAACUCUGAAAAUGUUGAAAAUUGGCAUGGUAUCACCAUUUCACCCACAUAGCAUGUGCUAAAAAGUUGAUAGGGUUACGACAAAAACUGGAUGCACUUCGUGUACAAAACAGACAAUCUUUUUCGAAGUAUCACGAUUUCGAACACGAACUCAUGUGUUACAAAGGAAUUCCAUUUUUUGAACUUAUUUGAACUCC
RNAcentral lists this long non-coding RNA (215 nucleotides) under Hordeum vulgare. Its description in RNAcentral is "long non-coding RNA (HVUL_LNC002985)". Lineage: Eukaryota; Viridiplantae; Streptophyta; Magnoliopsida; Poales; Poaceae. The record is from RNAcentral.